RNAcentral lists this ribosomal RNA (435 nucleotides) under uncultured bacterium. RNAcentral describes it as "partial 16S ribosomal RNA". It matches the Rfam family "Bacterial small subunit ribosomal RNA", at positions 29 to 507 of the family's 1533-position model. The record is from RNAcentral.
AGCGAACGCUGGCGACAGGCUUAACACAUGCAAGUCGAGCGGGCAUCUUCGGAUGUCAGCGGCAGACGGGUGAGUAACACGUGGGAACGUACCCUUCGGUUCGGAACAACUCUGGGAAACUGGAGCUAAUACCGGAUACGCCCUUAUGGGGAAAGGUUUACUGCCGAAGGAUCGGCCCGCGUCUGAUUAGCUAGUUGGUGGGGUAACGGCCUACCAAGGCGACGAUCAGUAGCUGGUCUGAGAGGAUGAUCAGCCACACUGGGACUGAGACACGGCCCAGACUCCUACGGGAGGCAGCAGUGGGGAAUAUUGGACAAUGGGCGCAAGCCUGAUCCAGCCAUGCCGCGUGAGUGAUGAAGGCCUUAGGGUUGUAAAGCUCUUUUGUCCGGGACGAUAAUGACGGUACCGGAAGAAUAAGCCCCGGCUAACUUCGUG